GCAUCGAUGAAGAACGCAGCGAACUGCGAUAAGUAAUGCGAAUUGCAGAAUUCAGCGAGCCAUCGAAUCUUUGAACGCACAUUGCGCCCGCCAGCAUUCUGGCGGGCAUGCCUGUCCGAGCGUCAUUU
RNAcentral lists this ribosomal RNA (128 nucleotides) under Leptographium flavum. RNAcentral describes it as "partial 5.8S ribosomal RNA". It matches the Rfam family "5.8S ribosomal RNA", at positions 30 to 154 of the family's 154-position model. From Rfam's summary of the family: 5.8S ribosomal RNA (5.8S rRNA) is a component of the large subunit of the eukaryotic ribosome. It is transcribed by RNA polymerase I as part of the 45S precursor that also contains 18S and 28S rRNA. Lineage: Eukaryota; Fungi; Ascomycota; Sordariomycetes; Ophiostomatales; Ophiostomataceae. RNAcentral also lists the same sequence under 3 other names. The record is from RNAcentral.